UUUAACACAAUGAAGGGAAGUCCUAAGUUCAUGUUGUAUAGAGAGCUGACGGUUGGUGAAAGUCAGUCUAACAUACUUAAGGAUUCCAUCCUGGAGUGGCCAAUGAUGAAUUGUGACGGGUUCCGCCCGGUAAAGCGGAUAAGAGUUGGCAGGAUUCAGUAGGAUUCGGCAACAUGGGUGGCAACGCGGGAAUAACCUCUCGUCCUUAUU
Molecule: non-coding RNA, 210 nt
Filed under: Desulfosporosinus sp.
Lineage: Bacteria; Bacillati; Bacillota; Clostridia; Eubacteriales; Desulfitobacteriaceae
Description: T-box sequence
Rfam family: T-box leader
About the family: Uncharged tRNA acts as the effector for transcription antitermination of genes in the T-box leader family. T-boxes are found upstream of many aminoacyl-tRNA synthetase genes and some amino acid biosynthetic genes usually in Gram-positive bacteria. The anticodon of a specific tRNA base pairs to a specifier sequence within the T-box motif, and the NCCA acceptor tail of the tRNA base pairs to a conserved bulge in the T-box antiterminator hairpin.
Source: RNAcentral